GUCCUUUUAUAGUUCAUGAGCACAAUGACUGGGUGUUCACACACAUGUGUGAAAUGUGCCACCCUCAAACCUUGUUACAAUAUUGGCAUAUUACCCGUGUGACA
Molecule: small nucleolar RNA, 104 nt
Filed under: Macaca fascicularis (crab-eating macaque)
Lineage: Eukaryota; Metazoa; Chordata; Mammalia; Primates; Cercopithecidae
Description: Small nucleolar RNA U13 (ENSMFAG00000051638.1)
Rfam family: Small nucleolar RNA U13
Source: Rfam by way of RNAcentral